UGCCAUCAGCCGCGGUAAUACGGAGGGGGUUAGCGUUGUUCGGAAUUACUGGGCGUAAAGCGCGUGUAGGCGGUUCGUUAAGUCUGAUGUGAAAGCCCGGGGCUCAACCCUGGAAGUGCAUUGGAAACUGGCGAACUUGAGUACGGGAGAGGAAAGUGGAAUUCCAAGUGUAGAGGUGAAAUUCGUAGAUAUUCGGAGGAACACCAGUGGCGAAGGCGGCUAACUGGCUCGGUACUGACGCUGAGAUGCGAAAGCGUGGGGAGCAAACGGGAUUAGAUA
RNAcentral lists this ribosomal RNA (279 nucleotides) under uncultured bacterium. RNAcentral's name for it is "partial 16S ribosomal RNA". It matches the Rfam family "Bacterial small subunit ribosomal RNA", at positions 506 to 784 of the family's 1533-position model. The record is from RNAcentral.